UACGUAGGGGCGAGCGUUACCCGAAUCACUGGGACGUAAAGGGAGCGUAGGUGGCCUAACAUGUCAACUGUGAAAACCCGGAGCUCAACUCCGGACUUGCAGUUGAAACUGGUAGGCUUGAGGACGGUAGAGGAAGACGGAACUGCCAGUGUAGGGGUAAAAUCCUUAGAUAUUGGCAGGAACGCCGGUGACGAAGGUGGUUUUCUGGGCCGGUUCUGACACUGAUGCUCGAAAGCCAGGGGAGCGAACGGG
Molecule: ribosomal RNA, 252 nt
Filed under: uncultured microorganism
Description: partial small subunit ribosomal RNA
Rfam family: Bacterial small subunit ribosomal RNA
Source: RNAcentral